CCUACUUAUAUCAGUACACUCAUAACAACUUAAGCAUUACGAAACGUCUAUUAGAUCAAAUCAAUGUAAUAAAUAAGCCAUACAUUUUUUGGUUGACCAAAUUCGACUUUCUCAUUGACCUCCAUACAAAAACUCCUUUCUUGGUGGGUGAAACACCGAAAAACCGCCAACUGCUGGAGGGAAACAGAUUUUCCGCCGAUUUGGGUCUCUCGCUUCCUCUCUGGUCACCCAAGUUGAGGUUCACGUCGAAUGUGUCAACGAAAGCGAAUCUUAAUCGAACCUAACCUACAUGGAUAAAAAUAUAAACCAUGGAAAAACAUUGCUCGGAUCUUGUCCCCUGGACCUUGGAGGACUUUUGGUGUGGAUGAUGUUCAGGUUGGAUAUUCCUUUAAAUUAUUCCACUCAACUAUACCAUUUGAUUGUCAUUCCUUUAUUGAAAAUUGUACCUUGUUCACACCACAGGGCCUACCAAAGCAAGGUUUUUCAAACAAUUGUGGGGUGUUUGUUUUGAUGGUAAGAUGCUGGCUAUUCAGUAUAUUAUAUUAGUCCUAUUUUCUGUUAUAACAUACGAAAAGUUAUUAUUAUUUCUGUGCUUGCAGCAUGCUAAGCACACUAUUGUUCAUACUUUUUCUUGUUUAUUUAUCUUGACACUUUUUGGGACCUGUUUUUACACUACAUACACAAUUCAUACAUCAACCUCCUGCAGAGCUGGACGCUGAUGUGACAUGCUGUGACUUCUUGGGGGCGACAUCUUCUACAUCCUGAAAUAUAUUCCUGGGGGGGUGGUAUUAUUAUUAUUGUUGUUAUCAUAACUAUCAAACUUAACAACCUAUUCUUUCUUAACUUAUAGUACGCGCUAUACAUUGCAAUGGAAGCAUUGUGUGAUUUCACUGAGGUAUGUAUAAAUUGUGAAAUUCUCAUCACUAGUGGAUAUGUUUUUUUGGAUACCCAUCCGAUUUUGUGAUUUUCUUUUUCAAAGGAAAACAUGCAGCAAGUUAGGCGAUGGUGGUGCCUAGUUCUCCUGCAGAACUUUCCCAUGCCGUUACUCUUGAACGUUGUAAAAACUUUUCAUUUGCAUCCUUAAAAUCACUUGUUUCACUGUAGCCAGACUGAUCUGAAUAUAUUUUCAUAUUGAAUGUAUGUAAUGUAUGUCAUUCACUCACUAAGGUCUGAAGAAGAGAGGUUGAAAGAUCGAAAAAUACAGCAAAUACAAAACACACUACAGGUAGGUGUCACACGAUGAGUGGUAUAGUCAUAAACCAAUGGUUAAAGACUUCAUUGUAAAGGGUUUAAACACUGUUUCCCAUGCUUGUUCAAUGAACCAUAAACAAUUAAUGAACAUGCACCUGUGGAACGGU
Long non-coding RNA from Salvelinus namaycush (lake trout), 1358 nucleotides. RefSeq lists it as uncharacterized. The record is from RefSeq and is a predicted model, not a curated record. Lineage: Eukaryota; Metazoa; Chordata; Actinopteri; Salmoniformes; Salmonidae. The transcript is spliced from 3 exons.